Molecule: long non-coding RNA, 1945 nt
Organism: Lathyrus oleraceus (garden pea)
Lineage: Eukaryota; Viridiplantae; Streptophyta; Magnoliopsida; Fabales; Fabaceae
Exons: 2
Source: RefSeq, a predicted model, not a curated record
AGUUUAAUUCUAUGAACAAAUAAAACAAGAAAAUGACUAAAUGAAAGAAAAGAAAAUAAGCUAAAGGAUCUAAACUAGAUCCAACCCAAAUGCAAUAGUGGAUACAACCCAAAAGGGGAAAAUGCACCGGGUUGGCCCUCCAAGAAGGCCCAAACUCGGAUCUGGCCCAAAUAUAGAAGGGAGUCAAACAAACUCUUUGCACCGACCGACCAGACGCGUGGAGGAACGAAACAAAAAUGACUAGUUCACCACUGAAGGUCUAUAUUCCAACCACUACCAUAAAUGAUUUCGAGAAAAAGCAAUGCAAUAAAAGAAAACAACAUGCAUCAUUAGUUACCUACAUGUAUCCCCAUCUCACCACUUGGUACGACUUAGAAUAAAAGCAGAAAAACAAACACAGUGAAAAAAGAAAACCUCACCUCAUUCGUUCACUCCCUCUCUCUCUCUACCUACACACUUCAACCGAACAAAACUUUCUUCUGCAAACUGCAAUCCAUUCAUCGUCUUCCAACAAAACAAAACCAAAGCCCAAUUUAAACAAAAAAAACGAAACACCUAAAAUUCCAGAACCAAAGAUGAACACCUCAUGGUGUUCAUCAUCAGAAUCUCAACAGAUCCGAGCAAACCAAUUUCCGAUUUCAACAAAAAGAAACAAAACCCACAACAAAACAAAUAACAUAACCAACUCAAACCAAAAUUCGCAAAGCUUCUUACAAAUCUACAAUAAUCCAGACAUAACUCAAACAAUCAUGAAUAAGCAACGAAUCAUCAAAUCAUACAUUCAAUCGGCAACUACAUGGAGCUGCAAUGCCUUGGAAAGGUUGAAUAAAAGGGUGAAUGAUGUCGCCGGAGCUUUGCGACUCCGGAGAGACUCCGACAAGUUUUACCUCAAGGCUUAGCUCGGUUUACUCAGAGUUUUGAUGAUAAACUUUGAGUCACCCUUGGUAUUUUGAGCUUUAGGUACGGGUUGGUAUGAGAUUUCAGCAGGGUAACAGUAGGGUAUCCUCCUCCCUUUAUUCAAUGAUUGGACGUGUCCUUUUAUAAGAGGGAAAUCAAGUGUUCACACAUGCGAAUUUGAGGAUAAUUUUUCAAAGGAAAAUCCUCUGAAACGUGUAGGCAUUAGCUGUAAGAAUUUGUAAGGAUUUCCAAUCGGUUAGAGCGAAUCUUUCUUCUGAUUUCGUGGGGACCAAAUGUGUGAUGGGUAUCAAUUUUGUCUGUAGUAUAAUCUGAAAUUGUGUUUAUGUUUAGAAUGUGUGGUCCCAUAAUGAUUUUUACUGAUGCAUGUUUUUUUUUAUCUAGGUAUGAUGCUCACUAAUAGGCUUUCACCGCGUAGUCCAAGGCUUAUGGAUGAUUUUGGUUUUGCGAUGGUGUACUUUUUUGAUAUUUGGUAUUACCCUCUCCUUUUCCUUCAGACGUCUAAACACAACCUUCUGUCUUACUUGAAAAGUUCAAUGGUAAUAAUUCAGGGAUGCAAAAAACCAUACACGGUCCAUCUUUAUGACUUCAAUUCUCUUCUAGUGUCUCAUAUUCACAGAGCAAUGUUAAUAUCAACUAGUUUCUGUUGUUCUGGUUUAUUUGUCACAAGUUGCAGUCGAUCAAAACUUUUGGACGGUUUGGACUUUCAUGUUUCAGAGUUUUGAAAUAAGGCAUUCUUCUUCGCACUUAGACCUUCCUUGGGUCAUCUAUGAUGUCUCUUUUUUUGUUUUACAGGUCAUAUUUCGUCGUGUUUCGUCUGUUGGGAAAUGAGCGCGUAAUGGCCUGUUGAAAUGGAUGUAGAACUGGGUGCAAAGGGGAGCAAGUUUGAAGUUUGACUUGAUUGUUAUGUAAUUUAGCUUGUAGUAAGGAAUAUGAAACAACCAUGUUGUAAUUUAGCUUGUAGUAAGGAAUUUGAAACAAGCAUGUUGUUAACCAAAACUUGUGGUUCAAUGAAGUAAAUCCUGGUUAA